Molecule: non-coding RNA, 30 nt
Filed under: Rattus norvegicus (Norway rat)
Lineage: Eukaryota; Metazoa; Chordata; Mammalia; Rodentia; Muridae
Source: RNAcentral
UGCUGUUGAAAUUCAGCCUGCCUAUACUUG